This 465-nucleotide ribosomal RNA is filed under the name Vreelandella stevensii. RNAcentral's name for it is "partial 16S ribosomal RNA". It matches the Rfam family "Bacterial small subunit ribosomal RNA", at positions 338 to 795 of the family's 1533-position model. The record is from RNAcentral. Lineage: Bacteria; Pseudomonadati; Pseudomonadota; Gammaproteobacteria; Oceanospirillales; Halomonadaceae.
CCUACGGGAGGCUGCAGUGGGGAAUAUUGGACAAUGGGGGCAACCCUGAUCCAGCCAUGCCGCGUGUGUGAAGAAGGCCCUCGGGUUGUAAAGCACUUUCAGUGAGGAAGAACGCCUGGUGGUUAAUACCCAUCAGGAAAGACAUCACUCACAGAAGAAGCACCGGCUAACUCCGUGCCAGCAGCCGCGGUAAUACGGAGGGUGCGAGCGUUAAUCGGAAUUACUGGGCGUAAAGCGCGCGUAGGUGGCUUGAUAAGCCGGUUGUGAAAGCCCCGGGCUCAACCUGGGAACGGCAUCCGGAACUGUCAAGCUAGAGUGCAGGAGAGGAAGGUAGAAUUCCCGGUGUAGCGGUGAAAUGCGUAGAGAUCGGGAGGAAUACCAGUGGCGAAGGCGGCCUUCUGGACUGACACUGACACUGAGGUGCGAAAGCGUGGGUAGCAAACAGGAUUAGAUGCCCCGGUAGUC